GCCGGGGGGCGGGGGCGGCCUCCGGAGGGCGUUUAUUUGUCUAGUUUCUUUAAUCUAUCUCCCCAGCCGGUGCAGCGGUGCCUGAGGGAUCGGUGUCCCGGGCGAUCGCCAGGAAAGGAGAGAAGCCAGCAGGGGGCAGAGGACGAGGCGGAAAAGAAUACGCAUAUGGGCUUCCCUUGUGGCUCAGCUGGUAAAGAAUCCACCUGCGAUGCCGGAGACCUGGGUUCGAUCCCCGGUUUGGGAAGAUACCUGGAGCCGGGAAAGACUACCCACUCCAGUAUUCUGGCCUGGAGAAUUCCAUGGACUAUACAGUCCAUAUACUUUGCCCACCCUGUGCAAAGAACUGACUCACUGGAAAAGAUCCUGAUGCUGGGAAAGAUUGAAGGCAGGAGGAGAAGGGGACGACAGAGGAUGAGAUGGCUGGAUGGCAUCACCAACUCGAUGACACGAGUUUGAGCAAGCUCCAGGAGUUGGUGAUGGACAGGGAGGCCUGGCAUGCUGCAGUCCAUGGGGUCGCAAAGAGUCCAACAAGACUGAGCGACUGAACUGAACUGAAUAUGCAUAUGGAAAAAUAUUCAUAUCUUAAGUGGACGUAAGUUCAAUAUAUUCUCGCAAUCUGAACUCAUCCGUGAAACCAGCACCAGAGGAAGAGGUAAAAUGUUAGCUGCUUGCACAGAAUCUCAUCCUGGUCUCUCCUCUCUAGCUCUCCCCGCUCUCACGGCUGUCACCCACCUGGAGUUAACUUAUUAUCCCGACUUGUAAUAACAGCACAGGAGAAUAUGCCCAUGUAAAGAAAAACUCAGACUGCCUCAUGAAUUGGGUAGAUGAAAGGGCUAUGUAAGUCAGCUUGUCAAGAGAUUAUUCAUCACCGUUGGAGUGACCAGAAAGAAAGAUCUCACAGAGCAGAAGAAACUACAACUGCAACUUCCUGAAUGACAGGCAUCUGAUUGGUAAAGAAGAUGGCAAGGUGUCCUGACCACCACUUAUGACAGGUUGUUUCCCCAUAAACUCCAAGUGCAAAUGUCUCCUGCUCACUGAAGAAUACAGUCACCAAGCCCAACUUGCAGCCCUCAUGGUACCCUGCAGCCUAAUCAAGGUGAGGCUUAAUUGCUCUCCUCCUCGGUUUCAGGCUUACAUCACCAAAGCCUUUAGCUGUCACCUUCACAGCUGUACAUUCCAAGCCAGUGACUGCAUACUCUGGGAAAGACAAGGUUACAGAGGGAGACUGCUACCUUCACUGCAUGCCACACAGACUCAUCACUUUCCUAUUCUGGACUGUGGACAAUAUUUGCAAUAGUAAUUGACAGAGGUAAAUGAAAUUUUAUGCUAAAGUGCCUUUGAGGGCAUUUUUUUUUUUUUUUCUGAAUGAAGAUGCUUUACACAUGUGGAUAUUUUCUUGGCUAUGAGCUUAACAAUAUGUGUUAUGACCUCUAUUUUCCCCUAAUCCCAAACCUAGCAGAGUUAGCUUUUUAAAAAUAUAUAUAUAUAUAUAUAUAUAUUUAUUUAUUUUAUUUUCGGCUGCACCGGCUCUUUGUUGCUGCGCACGGGCUUUCUCUAGUUGCGGUGAGCGGGAGUUACUCUUCCUUGUGCUGCAUGGCCUUCUCGUUGUGGUGGCUUCUCUUGUCGCAGAACACAGGCUCCAGGCACAUGAGCUUCAGCAGUUGCAGCACGCGGGUUCAGAAGUUGUGGCCCACAGGCUUAGUUGCCCCAAGACAUGUGGGACCUUCUCAGGCCAAGGAUUGAACUUGUGUCCCCCUGCAUUGGCAGGCGAAUUCUCAUCCACUGGACCACAAGGAAGUCUGAGAGUUAGCUUUUAUUUCACCUUCUCCAAAUAUCUACCACCUACUGAAAAACGAAACGAUUCCCUUUUAAUUUCUAGAUACCUCUCACUUGGACAUCCCUGUAGAUAACUGAUAGUUUUGAUAUUAUAAACUUUCAUUUAACAGCAACAAAAAAUUCUGUCUGGUUAUAAAAUACUUCUGGCAUAUUUCUAGUUUUUAAUUCCACAUUCUGCUUCAUUUCACAAUAAAAAGACUUCUUUUUUUUUUUCUUUAAUAAAAUGACUACCCUUUUACAUCAAAGUAUAAUUGGUUAGGCAAUUCUAACUUUCUUCAGAGAAAAGCACUUCCCUGAUCAUAUAGACUGUACUUCUAGUAAUCAUAGUUUCUCAAACUUGUUGCAAGUUUUGGAUAAAUCCUUAUUAGGCAAGCACUUCAAAAACAUAUUCAAUGCUUACUUUAGCAGCACGUAUACUUAAACUGGAAUGACACAGUGAAGAUGAGAAUGGCCCCAAUGAAAGGAGUACAUGCACAUCUGUUUAACACUCAUAUUUUUGUAUGAUUGUUAAAAUAAAAAAUUAUAUUUGACUGGGUUUUCAAUAUAUCCAGAUUCAAUGAUAUGACAUAAACGUGAAGGCAAAGGAGUUUAUAUAGCUGUAAUAUCUCUAUACUUCAUUUGAAGUGGUAAACUAUGAACUCUAAGAAGAUUAAGAAGAGUCAGGUAUGCAUAUGGUAACCACUCCUAAACAACAGCUAUAAAACUUACACAAAGGGAUAUGGUUUUUAAAAAAAAAUGUAAGUUAAAGUGUAAUGGCAAGAAAUACUCAAAUAAUCUAAAAGGAGAGAAAAAGAAAGCAAACAGAAAACUCAUCAUACAGUGGCACACUUGAAUCUAACAAUUUCAAUACUUAAAUUUAAAUGGUCUAAACACAACUAAAAGUUGGAGAUUGGGGAUUUCCCUGGUGGUCCAGAGUUUAGGAGUCUGCCUUGCAAUGCAGGGUACAUGGGUUCGAUCCCUGGUCAGGGAGGAUCCCGUGUGCCACAGGCUGGGCCCAUGAACGGCCUCACAUGGACCCCGGGGCCCGCACACCACAACUAGAGAGUCUGUAUGCUGCAAGGAAAGACCCCACGUGCUGCAGCUAAGACCUGACAACACAGCCACAUAAAUAAAUACUUCUAAAAAGCUGGAGAUUUUUGGAUUGGAUUAAAAACAAACAAACCAAGAUCCAACUAUGUGCUGUUACAAAAUAGACUCCAGAAAAAGGAACUCAUCGUGGAUAAAGAGGAAUAUUACAUAAUGAAAACAGAGUCAAGUCAUCAAAAGCUAUAACAACCCUAAGUGUGUAUGUACCUAAUAACAGAGCUUCAAGAUACAUAAAGCAAAAGUGAUAAAACUGAGAGAGGAAAAAGACAAACUUGCAAUUGCAUUUGGAGACUAAAACCCUCCUCUGUUAGAAACUGAUAACAGAAGCAGACAAAAAGUCAGCAAGAGUAUAGAAGACAUAAAAAUAACACUAUCAAACAAUUUGACCUAAUAAACAUUCCCACACAACAGAAUACACACCAUUUGCAAAUACACAUGGGACAGUCACCCUAAUAGACCAUAUUCUGGGUUAUAAAACAAACCUUAAUCUUUUUAAAGGAAUGAAAUCUUACCACAUAUAUUCUCUGGCCAUAAAAUAAUCAAUUAGACCAAUACUGAAGAGAUAUGCUGCUGCUGCUGCUGCUCUGCCCCUAAAUGUUUGAAAAUUAAGCAAUGUAUUUUAAGAAAUUCACUGGUUAAGAAGCCUCAAAAAUAAUUAGAAAAUAUUUUGAACUAAAUACAAAGGAACACUGCUGCUGCUCAGUUGCUCAAGUCAGGUCAGACUCUUUUGUGACUCUAUGGGCUGUAGACCACCAGGCUUCUCUGCCCAUGGGAUUGUCCAGGCAAGAAUAAUGGAGUGGGUUGCCAUCUCCUCCUCCAGGGGAUCUUCCCAAACCAGGGAUCGAACCUGGGUCUCCUGCAUUGGGAGGUGGGUUCUUUACCCCUGAGCCACCAGGGAAGCUCACGAAUGAACACAGAAUCUAUCAAAAUUUGUGAGAUUCAGGUAACGCAGGACUUAGGAAGAAAUUUAUAUGAGAAGUGUUCUUUUUAGAAAAGAAUAAAGGUUUCAAAUCAAUAAUCUAAACUUCUAUCUUAAAAAAUUAGAAAAAGAAUAGCCAGCUAAACACAAAGCAAGAAAAUCAGGGAACCCCACCUCCACCCCUGGUCCAUGGAAAAAUUGUCUUCCACGAAACCGGUCCCUGGUGCCAAAAGUGUUGUAAAAGAUUAACACAAUUAAUAAACUUCUAGCUAUAUUUAUAAGAGAAAAAGUGUAUAUAUUUUUAUGAAACAAUGAUCAUCUUUAUAAGGAUAUCAAUAUCUUACCCCAUGCCAGGGUAUAUCAUUAGUUUCAAGCUCAAACCUUUAGGUACCUAAUGAUAUUUAGGUGAAUCCACUCUUUCUGCCCAAGGUAUCUAUUUACAUAGGAAUCGGUUUGUUUCACCCUUACAUUCUCUACAGAAGAUCUUUUAGACAAUCUCAAGGGCUUCGGUUUCAAGCUGAGGGGACUGGCAGAUUUUGAUGACAGCUGCUAAAAGCCCCAAUCAUAUUGUGUCUUUGUGGGAGGACCAAGUGAGUGUAGCCAGAGAGAGGUGAGUCCUUCCACUUGCAUGAGGUCACAGGUUGGGCUGUGAGAAGGAUGGGGUGGGUUCCUAGUUCUGUUCCUUUAUAAACUAACAUUUGGGUGCGCCCAACACUGCCAGCGAUCUUUGUCCUCACAGCAGUCUGCCUGCCUGUGCUCAGCAGAGGGAGAGGCCAGGGAGCAGGCUGGGCUGAAGCCAGGAGUCCUUGUCAACAGCUGUCAUUUAUCCCAUUGGUUCACUCAUUACUCAUCCUUAUCACCAGGGUUUUGGGGAUGCCAUGCUCUUUCUAGAAUCCUUUGAGAAAAUGCAGUGUAGGUGAGCAAUGAGCAAUCUUAGCGCUUGCACUAUCCCUCCAUGGAAUUCCUUCCAGGGUUGAGUCACGUCUUUCUCACAACAAUAAAAGCUCCUUGAAGACAAGAAUCCUCUUUUGUGUCUCUUUUACACUACCCACAGAACAUAAUGGCCCCUUGUUACAAACUUGCCAACAAACUGAUAAUAUUCCCAGUACAAUGUACAUGCUCAUUAAAUAAUGGUCGAUGGAAUCAGUUAAUAAAGAACUGUGUGUUGUUCUUGUA
This is a long non-coding RNA of Dama dama (fallow deer), 5017 nucleotides long. RefSeq lists it as uncharacterized. The transcript is spliced from 3 exons. Lineage: Eukaryota; Metazoa; Chordata; Mammalia; Artiodactyla; Cervidae. The record is from RefSeq and is a predicted model, not a curated record.